Long non-coding RNA from Cavia porcellus (domestic guinea pig), 11172 nucleotides. RefSeq lists it as uncharacterized. The record is from RefSeq and is a predicted model, not a curated record. Lineage: Eukaryota; Metazoa; Chordata; Mammalia; Rodentia; Caviidae. The transcript is spliced from 4 exons.
UUUAUCGCGAGAGGUUGGAAAACGAGAGCAGCGUAAUGUGUAUUUUGUUAAGUGUUCGGGACAGGGAUUUUCUUACUAUCCGCUGUGCUUUCCUUGUGCAACAAGUUUGUUUGUUUGUUUGUUUGCUUUUUUUUCUUCCCUUCCUUUGCUUUGGCUUUUUUUUUUUUUGAGACGAUCUUGCUGUGUUGUCCAAGUUGGCCCGGAACUCCUGGGUUCAAGCGAUCCGCCUCCCACUGCCUGUGGAGUAGCUGAGUCUACAGAAGACAUUUUCAACAUAGAAAAACUGAAGCAAAGCUCAUCAUUAUUCUGGAAGUGGGAAGAAAAUAAUACCAGAUGAAAACCUAGAGCUACCCAAAGAGUUCUGGAAAUGGAAAGAUAUGGAUAUUGAAUUGUGAUCUCAUCUACGGUAUUGACGGGGAAGACUGCUAACGUGCACAGAGCAAGAAGCAUCAAGCUACAGACUAUUGUAUUAGUAACCCUACCACACGGUUGUUUGACCCAGCUGCUCAGGUGUUGCUAGAAGUAUCUGUGGUAGAAAAAAUUCCGUAGCAUUACAUAUCGAUAUGUCAUCUAUUAUAGCAUUAUAUACUAUAUUAUUAUAUAUAGUAUUGUGUUAUAUAUUAUAAAUGAUAGCACUAUACAUGGGAACUUCUGUUAAUUCAUAAUGGAAGAGUUGCAGCUCAAAUCUAAAGACACUGAGUAAUCAUAGGACACUACAUAUCCAUGUAGCUUGGCCUUCUCUUUUUGGACUGGGUUAUAUCAGACCCACCAAAUUAUAAAGUCAAGUGGACCCAGCAGUAAUCCAUCAUAAAACAGAAGUAAUAUAUCUGAGAUGAGUUCAUGCACAUCCAUCAUACACAAGAGAACUACCUGAACAGUUUGGUAAUCCUAAUCUUCAUGAAGAGGAAGGACUGCUGUUUCAUAAUGUGAGCAGAAAGACACGUUUGGGCCUCACAUGAUCUGCUGGGACUUCUCUUAGUCUUCCAUUGCCCAACUGAAGUUUAUAUGGGAAACUUUAGUAACUAUAAUCUGAUAAGUAUUUAGUGACCAACAUACAAAACUCCCUAACAGUAAAACAAAUCAAAGAAGAGGAGGAUCUAAAAUGAGUGGUGGAAAGGAAAAUGAUGAGUAUCAAAGCCUAGAAUCAAACACAGUAGCAAGGCUAUAUUCCACAAAAUCAUCUUUUGUAAGUUCUCUCACUUUGCAGCCAACCAGGACCCAGGAGAAGCCAUGCAUAGAUAUAGUGAAUUUAAUGUGAAAAAAUGUGUGAAGUCAGUUGGUGCAAGGGGUGGACUGUAGUGAAUCAUUUACCACUGCACUACUCUCAUCUAUAUUGAUUGGCACUGUAUAGCUGUUUUGUCUUCUAGAAAAUUGUCAUCCUCACCGGGCAUGGUGCCUCAUGCCUGUAAUUUCAGCACUCAGGAGGCUGAGACAGGAGGAUUGUCAUGUGUUCGAGACCAGCCUGGGCUACAAAGUGAGCUCAAGGCCAGCCUGAACUGCAAAGCAAGACCCUGUCUCAAAAAGACAAAAAAAAAAAAGAAAGAAAGAAAAUUGUCAUCCUCUUUGCAUAAGGAUACAAAAAAAAAACUUAUUCUUUCAACAUAGGGAACCAAUUAUAUGGUCCAACUGGUGCUCCAGAGCUUUCUUGAGAAUCAGCUGAGAUCAUAUUCCUGCCAAUGUUUCACUAAUUGCCUCAUCCUGCUCUCAUCCUUCUUCAGAAACUUCUCUCCCAAUAAAUCCCUUAAACAAGAAUUCCUGUAUCAGACUCUGCUUCUAGGAAGUAAACAGGCCUUCUGACUUUGAGUUAGAAGACUUUGGAAUGGAGGCAGUCCUGAAUAUCUGAGGCCUAGAGAUUGGAUACCUGUAACUGUGUUUUGUGUUUCCAGUCCUCAGCUUCUGUACCUGGAAAGGAAGAAUUCUCACUUGAAAAUUUCUUUGCCCCCACCAUCCCUGGGGCAUGUAGUUGGGGAAGAAUACAAACAUCAGGUUAGCUGGUGUCUUCAGCAGCAGGCUCUGGUGUCUCAGGGGCUUUCAGAUAAAUGACACCUUCCUAUUCUUUGCAUUACCCCAGGGAUCAUGGCAGUCACAGCUGCUGAUGGCCAAAAACACAACACUCUCCUUGUGGGUCCCACAGGAGCUGACACAGACCCAGUGGAACUGAGUGGGUCCAUGAUCUGAGACCUAUUGCUUCCUUAUACUGUCUGAAGCUGACUGCACCAAAUAUGUCACUGGCAAACAAUUGUUAUUUAUCACCUGUAAUUGUUUCAAACUGUUGCCCAGAGGUAGGAGAAUGGACCUAAUGACUUUUAGAGAAUUCAUUCACCUAGGCAGCCUAUAAUCAAUACAAUGAUUCUGGGACCCCUGAGGGAAAGUCACAGAGGACUCAUGAGAGUUCUGCACAAACAUCACAAGUACCAUUUGUGCCAUCUGAUUUCUGAUCCCCAAGAUUAUACACAAUCAAGAAGACUUGGAACUACAAAGGAAUUCAAGAGCAUAUUAACCCCUCUUUUAACUGUCUUUUUCCAUUCUCAUCCCAGAUCCACCUGAACUACACCCCAUUGUCCACUCAGGCUCUUAUCCGGUGAAAGUUGAUGAGCAUUCUUGUUUGAGGUUCUUUAAUCUAGUGACCCCUGCUUCAAAUCAUCCCACUUUUUUAUACCAAACUACUGAUAAAUUGUAGAAAUAAGAGUAGGUUGUGCCUUGGACCCGGUGACCAGAACUGACAUUUAGAUUGCUCAGACUCCAGGCUAAAAGCCUAGCCUGAAUCUGACCCUCCUUGCUGCUCAUCUUUCAGGAACAUUUGCUUUGCUGAUGCUUUUGCCAUGAGGAAGUGUGGCAAGCCGGCUUGCUGCUGGCACCUGCCACACUGUAGCAUAACACCAAUACUAAUGGCAGAAAUAAUCACAGUGACAAUGAUGAUUUUGUCUACAUGCACAAGGCACUGGUCAUCUCCCCACAAGCUUCCCAGCCUGGGGCUCAACUGAUGAUGGUGGGGCCUCUGGCCCACAACCCACACUGUCACAGUCACACACUAGAUUCAUCUGAAUGGUUGAUGUUAUUAUUAGAGUCAUCAUAAUUCUUGAUAAUUAUUAAUUUAUUCUUGCAGAGCACAUUUACUGAAGACAUACUGCAUGCCAGGAACUGUGCAAGAAUUAAUAUCAACACUUUCAAGAAGUAUUCCAAGUGAUAGAGCACUUACAAGGCCCUGGUUUCAAUCCUCAUCACUAGAAAAACUGUAGUCCAUUGGGAGAAGACAGAAUGGCACAUAAUGACAUUAUAAUAUUCAGCAGAUUGAUAAAGAUGAAUAGAUUCUCAGUGCAUAGAAAAAUGAUAGGAAAUAACCCUCAAUAAACGUAUGGAUGACUAUUGAAUGAGCUAAAGUCAAAUGAAUAUACAAAAAGUUAUAGAAUCUUAGAGUGGGAAAGAAAGUGAUUUUAUUGGAAAGGAAUUAAGGAAGGCUUCCAGGGGACAUGAGCUGAGCUCUAAAGUUGAAAAAGCAGCACAGUGUACUGAUUGAGAGCAGGCCAUCUAGAUCCAGAUGUCUGGAUUUGAAUGCUAACUCUGCAGUUGGUAUUGAACUUCUCUGUGCUACCCCUUGGUUGCUCCAUCUGUUAAAAUGGGUUAUAUAAUGGGGCUGGGGAUUUAGCUCAGCGGCAUAAGUGCCUGCCUUGCAAGCAGGCAGUCAUGAGUUCGAUCCCUGGUACCGAUAAAAAGGAAAAAGACAAAAAUAAAAUAAAAUGGGUUAUAUAUUGUAGUUUCCUUUUUUUUUUUCUGUUUUGGUGAGGCAGAGCUUCACUAUGUAGUUCAGCCUGGCCUCAAAUUUACAGCAAUUCUGCCUCAGCCUCCCUAGUGCCAGGAUUACAGACAUGCACCACCAUGCCUGACCUGUAGCUUCCUUAUAGAGUUGUAAAGAUAUCAUGAAUUGAUGUUUGUAAAGUGAUUAUAUAAUUAAAUAUACAUGCAUGUCUAAAAAAUAAAUCUACUGUCUAGGAGCCUGUCAAACUAACAGAGAAGAAAGUUAAAUGCAUACAGACGAGCCUUCCAACCAAUAGAAAGGUUUCCAAUAGGAUGGCAUCCUCAAGAAUGGUAGGGAAGGCAGGUGGAUAGCAGGCAAAGAUUUGACUGAGUAUCUCAAAUUACUAGGGUAAGUGGAAUGGUAAGUAAUUACUUAAAUUUUUUUUGUUUGGCAAUAACUAGAUUUAUAGAAAAGUUGCAAAAUAGUGCUUAACAAUCCAAUAUAUGCUUUAUUCAGUUUCCCCAAAUAGUUAAAUCUCAAAAGGAGCCAUUGCUUUUUAAGGAAGAACAGGACACACACAGCCAAGUACAUAUUUUAGAAAGCUUGUCAUAGCAGUUUUAAGGUAGAUAAAUUUAAGAGAAAGAAAGUUGGUCCCAGCAGGUCCAUGAAGGGGCUGUCAGCCUCAUCCCAAAGGACUGCAAUGCAGUCAGGCAGGCCUGGGACAAAAAAUAUAAUAGUUAUUUGAUAUUUAUUGACUACUUUUUUCUUUCAGUACUAGGGAUUGAACACAGGGCCUGUACAGUAAGCUAUAUACCCAACCUUUUUUUGUUUUGUUUGUUUGUUUGUUUGUUUGUUUGAGACAGGGUGUAAAUCACUAGGUUGCCCAGACUAGGCUUGAAUUUGAGAUCUACCUGCCUGAGUUUCCCAGAGUGCUGUGAUUAGGGAAAUGCAGCACCACACCCAGCUGCAUACUUUUUGAGUAAAUCAAGACAGUCUAACUCCUGGGCACAUAGAGUUUACAAAUGCUAAUUCAGAAGCACUUUGGAAAGUCUGUCCCAUGGUCAAACAGCUUCUAAUUCAAUGCUUGUUUGUUUGUUUGUUUAUGGAGAUGGUAAUUGAUUCAAUCAAUAUAACCUAACACUAUAUAGUUUUUAAAAAACAGCUAAAGCAGAAGUUGCACACAUGGUGUCUGCUCUAUACUAAGGCGUUACGAGUGCAAGAAACAGAAAUGCAUGCAUGCCAGUCUUAUGAAUGGUGGUUUGUAGUAGAAAAAGACAGGGAGGCUGACCAAACCCCACACAUGCACACAGGAAGUAUAGUUGAUGUGCUCUGGAAUUAGCAAACGAUCAGAGACAGUUCCUGCUGUGGCUGUCUCUUAGGGUAUCAGGAGUUCUUGCCUCUACAUUUUUCUGCACAUCUCCUCCAAUCUCCUCAGCAAAUUAGUCUCCUCUGUUUUCACAUUUCUUUUCUUUUCUUUCUUUCUGUCUGUUUCACUAUGCAGUUCAGGCUGGACUUGAACUCACUAUAUAGCCCAAGUUGGCCUCAAACUCACAGCAAUCCUCCUGCUUCCGCCUCCUGAGUGCUGGGAUUACAGGUAUGUACCACCAUGCCCAGCUCACCCUCUUCUGGUUACACCAGAAAUGGGUAGCUUUACCCUCCAGUACAUGCAGUUGGCAAGAAUCUGAUUAAUUCAGUGUAGGCAACAAGCUAUCUAUCUAAUUAUCAGUAACUGAGGGAUACAGAGGUCUCUGCCUUCUGGAAGAAAAUAUUCCUGGGACAAAAAUUAAGUGUAUCUCUAAAACAUAAUCUUUUCCCUGAAAUUAAAUAAAACUGAUGAGUAUGUCAAAACAUCUGUUAAUGUGAGUGGAAUGUCACUUUUGAGAGUAGGAGGCGCCUGGAUGUUUAUUCCAGCCCUAGAAACACCCCUUUCCCCGGAUGACCCACUGAUAACUACCUCUAAGCUCAAUUUAUAGAAUUCAGCCCCCACCAGGAGAUCUGACCAUAUCAAAAACAAGGAUCAAAACCAUUUUUAGCAAUUUAAAAUAACUUGAGAGUGGGCAAAACUUCUGGACCUAUGUCAAUAGGAUAGGAUAGGACUUGAGGUGGAAGAGGAGGGCUGCUUUGGGGGGAAUAAUGUAUUCUUUUAGGAGCAACCACCUGCACUUUCUUUCUCUCUUUCUUUCUUUUUUGGUGCUGGGUAUUGAACUCAUGACCUUGGGCUUGUGCAUCAGGUGUUGUACCACUGAGCUAUAUCCCCAGCUCCCAACUGUGCUUUAUAUUGUUAGUGGUAUUUCUUGUGGUAUUUCUUAGCAUUAUGUUCGCUAAAUGUAUUGAGUCUUCAUGGAAAGGCUGCAGAACUGACAUUUUUAUCCCCAUAUGCAGCUGAGGAAAUUGAGGUGGGAAGUGAAGUAACUGAUCCAAAGUCACCCAACUAGCUGCUGAUCUAAGAAUGGAACCUAGGCCUUGUGGACAGCUAGCCAAGAAAUCCACCAUGCUACUCUCCCUGGCUCUGAUUUAGGGAGAAAAGUCAUUUCUGGAGGAGAAUAGAGAGACAGGCAAAGCUCACAGGUGGCCAGAGGUGCAGAGAGUUAUCCAGCCUCUCACUGGAUAGGCUGAUGAGACUGGUCGGGGACUGUACAGAAUGAAGAAUCGAUCUGCUAUUCCAUGUGAAAAUGGAUUGUAGCCCCAGCCUGUGUGUGUCAAUGGAGCUGAUUAGCACUUGCGUGAGUCUCCAGCCAUCGAUUGGCAAGUGAGAAUCGUUCUGGGAACAGCAGGGAGCCAGCCCUCUCCCACCCCCAUUCAUACCAGCUUCCCCCUUUCACAGAGAUUCUUUGUGCCCACCCUAUCUAUGCCACCUGAGUCUCUAGCCUUCUCUAACCCCCAUGCUUCAUGGAUGCCCAGAGCUCCUGUAGUUAUUGCUAACCUAAAGAGCGCAGCAUGACUGAUAUCUACCUAAUUCAGUCAAUCCAGGUGCACCUGGGAGAGGAAUGGAUGGCCUUCAGAAAAGCACUGCCUGACUUGAAGAUAUAACAUGGAUAUGUGGGUGCAAUAUUCAUCUUGGAGCUUAUACCAUGUGAAGGAAAAGGCAAAGGUUCUGCACACAUAAAUCAUGUAGCCCUGGGUCAGUUGUUUGCCCCUUUAGAGCCUAGUUUCCCUAUGUAUAUGGGAUCAAAACUAGCUGUCUCAGAAAGAAAGCUUUCUCACUGGAUCAUUUGGAUUAAAUGAAGAAGUCUAUAAAAAUGAAGUAUAUGUAAAAGAUCUUUGCAGUCCCUGGCAUAUAGCAGAAACUAAACAUAUUAGUUGGAAAUUGACUCCCCAUUCUUCUCAAGAGGCUCCCACUCUGUUUGACCUCAUUUCUAUCUCUAUUUUCAUCAUUUGAGUGUAAUACACAAGUGACAGCAAAACUCUCUUUGACCUGACCUGGAGCAAAUCUGCCUUCAAAGAAGCUCAGCCCAUAAUGUUGGGUUGCCUUUGAGGAAGUAAACUGUCAAGUUCCAGCAAAAGAACCGACAGGCUCAGGUUCAUCAGAGCCUCCCCAAGGUCCAUCUGCACCAAAAGGUUGCAUCCUAAGCUUGGCACAUGGUAUUUGGGGGCUGCGCUGGCCAUUCGUCACUGCCUGUCUGUGGUCCCUUCUAUUACCCCCAAUUGUACCAAGUCCAUGUGUCAGGCUUCCUUUAUUAGUUUUUCCUCCUGAUCCCAUCAGGCUGGAGUUCUGCCCAGUUAGCAGAGGUCCUGAUCUUGCCAGACUUCUCCCCAGGGGUCCAGAUUUGUCAACUAAUGGUUGGCUUCCUGCCCCAAGUGUCGAAGCCAUCUGUCACAAGAACUUGACCUCGGCAAUGUCUGGGUUGUAUACUACAUAACCAAUUAAGUCUUUGAUAGUGCAGACAGAAGAGAGCAUCACCUUGGAUCUUCAUACAUGCAGAUUAUGACUACAUUAUAGGUCCUGAGGUAGACUAAUAAGGCCACAGUAACAAAUGAAAAUCGUACUCAGGACCAUGAACAGAUGCCACGGGAGGAGGUUGCCUGGGGUUGAAGAUGGUGGCCUUAACCCUAAACUGAAACACUAACAGAAGCAUAUUUUCAGUACCAUGGACAGACACCACCCUCAAAGGACAGUCUUCAAGGACCUGAACAGUGAAACAUCCUUCUGAUUAUAAGAAAUGGAAACCUACCUCGAACUAACACAAGCUAAUAUUUGCAUGAGUUGGAUGAGUGAGAUGGAGCCUCUGGAGGCACUGAAUGUCAGGCUUGUUGUGAAAAACAGUUUAAAGUUAUAGGGACAUCUUCUUUUACCUUAAUGCAAGAUGUGGUUACUUUAACAAAUAAUUUAACUAUUCAAAUUAUUUAUUUCUUUCUGAAUGAGUUUGGCCUAUUGAGGAAAACUAUAUAUUUUUAUUCCAGGUGUUGGUAUAAAGUUGUUUGUAGUAUCUCCCUUUUUCGUGGUACUGGGGAUUGAAUUCCCAGGGUCUUUGCACAGUUACAUCUAUUGUAUCUUUUCUUUUCUAAAAUGGAGUCACUAAUUUGUAAGUUUCCAAGGCUGGGAUUGGACCUGUGACCCUCCUACCUUAGAUUCCCCAAAAUAUUGGGAUUACAGGUGUGCCAUGACAUCAGUUUAUUUUUCUUUUAAUUUUUUCCAGUUCUAUACAGAUAACCUUCUCUGGUCCUUGGUAUUAACAUUGGUAAUUUUGUUUGUUUUUCAUUUUUUGUGUUAGUAAUGUGUAUCUUCUCUUUCUUUUUCCUGACUAGUCUGGCUACAUUUUUACCAGUUUCAUUGAUGAGUGUAAUGUGUGUGUGUGUGUGUGUGUGUGUGUGUGUGUGUGUGUGGUACUGGAGGUUGAACACAGAGAUGUACUGCCACUAGCUACAUCCCUAGCCCUGUUUUUAUUUUGUUUGAAACAGCAUCUUGCUACAUUGCCCAGACUUGGCUUAAACUUGCAAUUGUCUUGCCUCAGCCUCCCUCAGUACUGGGAUUAUAGCCAUGCACCACCGUACCCAGAUUCAUUGAUUUGUUUAACAUCUUUUUCUUGCAAUUGUCUCCUUAUUCCAAUUUAUAGCAUUAUCAUUUUAUUUUUGUUGCAUCUUAGAGGCAUUCAUGCCCUGCCAAGUGAAUAUUUCUAAAACAUCUCUUUCACCAAGUGUGGUGGCACAUAUCUGUGACCCCAGCACUAAGGAGGCUGAAGCAGAAGGAUCACCAUGAGUUCAAGGUCAGCCUAGGCUACAUAGUGAGUUCAGGACCAACCUCUACCUCAUAGUGAAAUUCUGUCUCUAGAAAAAUUAAAGGUUAAAAAUCCUCUCUUAUUUGAAGACAAAAGACAAAUGGUUUCUUAUUUCUUUUGAAUAAUUUCUAGGCUCUGCCCACUUUACAUCAAGGACCUUCUCCAGCAGUGACAAUCAUUUCCAUCUCCAUAGUUUCUCAUACUCUUCCUCUGCACAAAUUCACUUUUUUCCAGCCAAAUGGGUUCAUUUGUCAUUCACAUAAAAUAUAAAUGAUUUUUCAGUGCCAUGCUUCUACAACUCUGCUGAGGGAAGAAUACCAACCAGACUCAGAGACUGAAGACCAAGAUUGGAAAUGGUAGUUAUUACAGUAUGGAUCAUCUGACCUCAAUUACUUUGUCUGCAAUAUGGGGUAAUAAUGCUGCAUUGCAAAGACAUUCGUAAUUUAUUCAGCAAGUGCUUGUUAUGAAAAUAUGCCCUGAGGCUUUCCUAUAUAUAUACACACACAUGUCCAUGUGAGUACAUGCAUGCCUAUGCAUGAGGGGAAGAAAUGCUGAUGCUCCUGUCAAAGGGUUGUGCCCUGAAGACAAAUACAAAGACUGAUAAUGGAAUGUACUAUGUGCUCACUAUAUAUAUUAAGUGACCACUCUGUGAGGUUCAAGGCACAUAACUGUGCAGACUUCUCUGCCCUAAUGAAGUUUACAUUUAAUCUGUACAACCUCGUCUUAUGCUCAGUCUUCUAGAAUUCACAAUUGUGGGCUGCAUUUUGAUUCAGGAAAUCAAUACAUGUACAUUGUUUUAACAAGUCAACUUGUACUACAGUACAAAAAGUAAAAAAAGUCAACUAGUACUACGAGUACUAGUUACAAAAAUAGAGUACUCUAUACCUUACUCAAGUCUCAUUCCCUAAAGCAAGAACUUAGUAUUUUAGGUGAAUCUAUGUUUUAACCUCUAAAUAUUCUUUUUGCUUUUGCUUUGUUUUGUUUUUGGUACCAGGGAUCAAACUCACAACCUAGCACUUGCCUAGCACUUGCCAGGCAGGCGGUUGUGCAGUUGAGCUAUAUCCCUGCCUCAGCCUCCCAAGUGCUGGGAUUAGAGGCAUGUGCCACCACACCUUCUUGACAUAUUUUUUUUGAAACAGGGUCUCGCUGUGUAGUUCAGUCUGACCUUGAACUCACUACAUUGCCCAGGCUGACCUAGAACUUGCAACAGUCCUCCUGUCUGAGUUUCUGGGCACUGGGAAUACAGUCAUAUGCCACCAUACCCAGAAAGUUAAAUCAUAUUUUUGUAAAAUCAAUAUUCAAUGUUUGCUUUUUGUAUACAUAAUUUACUGAUGAAACUAAUCUUGCAUUAUCUGGCUUAUUUAGAUAUUUUUCUUCCCUUGUGAUAGUGGUUUUGUCUGGUUGUUGCUUUGUUGCUUUCCUCAUUUCCCUAGUUUUUCAGAUCUUUAUCUAAAUUUGUUCCCAAACUCUUCAGUAAAAUGCAAAUGUCUUCCAAAUGUUAAUUUCCAUGCAAUGAAUCCCAUCAGGUAAUCUAUUAAACCACUUGAUAUUUCUUUUCCUAUAGGAGACUCUCAAAGUCUUCCAACUUUCUCUGGGUGUUCUACACAGAACUUCUUCAGAAAAUUCUUUUAUUAUUUUUAGAAAUCUGGCCCCAUUUUCCUAGAUCCUAUAUACUUUUUUCCUUCGUGGUUUAGUCUUUUGUGUGUAGUUGUUUUUUUUUUUUGUUUGUUUGUUUUUGUUUUUUUGGAGGGUGUGCAAGGUGUUGCCUGGGGACUGAACCCAAGGACCUCACAUUGAGCUACAUCCUAAGCCCUUUUUUAUUUGGAAACAAAGUCUUGCUAAAUUAUUAAGUGGCACAAGAUGAGCUUGAACUUGUGGCUGCCUUGUCUCAGCCUGCCUUUUGGUCCUUUUUUUGCCUUUUGUUUUAACAGAACACAUUCUUGGCCUUUUGUCUAAGACCAUGUGUAAUAAAACACAUGCUUUUGUAGCUUCCUGAGAAAGAAUGCACGAUGCUUGUAAUCCCAGGACUUGAGAAGUUAAGAGGAUCGCCAUGAAUUCGAGGCCAUUUCCUGUCUCAAAAAUUACAGGGCUCGUUCUGUCCCUGGAGGUGGAGUCUGGGGCCUGUCACUGCCUGUGCCUCCUCUGGCCAAGUCUAGCUGAGGACAGCUUGUGUGAGGAGGGAGGCAUGCAGCCCCACUCUGAGCUGUCUGAGAAGCACAG